Molecule: ribosomal RNA, 301 nt
Filed under: uncultured bacterium
Lineage: Bacteria
Description: partial 16S ribosomal RNA
Rfam family: Bacterial small subunit ribosomal RNA
Source: RNAcentral
CAGUAGCCGCGGUAAUACGGAGGGUGCAAGCGUUAAUCGGAAUUACUGGGCGUAAAGCGCACGCAGGCGGUCUGUCAAGUCAGAUGUGAAAUCCCCGGGCUUAACCUGGGAACUGCAUUUGAAACUGGCAGGCUAGAGUCUUGUAGAGGGGGGUAGAAUUCCAGGUGUAGCGGUGAAAUGCGUAGAGAUCUGGAGGAAUACCGGUGGCGAAGGCGGCCCCCUGGACAAGGACUGACGCUCAGGUGCGAAAGCGUGGGGAGCAAACAGGAUUAGAUACCCGUGUAGUCCCUGUCUCUUAUAC